Populus nigra (black poplar) is the source of this 830-nucleotide long non-coding RNA. RefSeq lists it as uncharacterized. The record is from RefSeq and is a predicted model, not a curated record. The transcript has 3 exons. Lineage: Eukaryota; Viridiplantae; Streptophyta; Magnoliopsida; Malpighiales; Salicaceae.
AGAAAAUUUGCACUGUCAGGUGAGUCUAUUGUUAAUCCGGAAUUACAACCUAUUGUAUCAUAUUGCUAAUUGUUUGUUUGCAUUUUUAUGUGACAGAGACCAUACUUGGUCCAAGGUGGCUUCCAGUCUUGGGUAAAACAAGGUAUCCAAGUCAAGGAGCUUAAACCUGAGACCGUGCUAACCAUACUUAAUGAGAGUGGGAGAAGACCUUACAAUUUAUUGCCAUCAUUGGCCUCAGUCAGGCGUUUGCUCUCUCCUGUUAGACUUGGAGUCCAGGCAUUUUCAUGUGCAGCAGGAAAACUGGAAAACAACCGCAUUGGUUUACCUACAUCACCUUCAUCUUCAGAUGUUCAAAACCGGGGGCUGAAAGCUGCUGCAAAGCAUGAAUCCCAACCAUCUGAAACUCAAGUUCUGAAUCCAUCACCUGAAUCAGUGACUCCAUUAAAUGAGAAAGUAGAUCUUUCAGAAGCAUAGGCAUCGAGGCGGCAUUUUCUGGAGUGUGGUGUAUAAUUCUGAUAACUUAACUGAGCUGUUCAUGUACAAAGAAUAAGAAACAUUCUAUCAGUGCUAACCUCUUGGAAAACAAAUUUUGUAUGUUAAUACCAGAUAAAAGAACAAGUUUUGUACAUUUCUCUAAUCAAGUGCAUUGAUAUCAUGUGCUCAGGAACGCCAACACAGGAGUGCUAUUAAUAAUGUAAUGAAUUAGGCAAAGAGAAUGUUUGCUGAUUAGUACUUAAAAAUGCAUUCUCAUUAAGGCUUUAUAUCAUCGUAUUGCACUAAAGUAUCGUUAAAUUCCCUAACUAAAGCAUGUUUUAUAAUAACAAGUCUAA